Molecule: ribosomal RNA, 468 nt
Filed under: uncultured bacterium
Lineage: Bacteria
Description: partial 16S ribosomal RNA
Rfam family: Bacterial small subunit ribosomal RNA
Source: RNAcentral
GACGAACGCUGGCGGCGUGCUUAACACAUGCAAGUCGAACGGAAAGGCCCUGCUUUUGUGGGGUGCUCGAGUGGCGAACGGGUGAGUAACACGUGAGUAACCUGCCCUUGACUUUGGGAUAACUUCAGGAAACUGGGGCUAAUACCGGAUAGGAGCUCCUGCUGCAUGGUGGGGGUUGGAAAGUUUCGGCGGUUGGGGAUGGACUCGCGGCUUAUCAGCUUGUUGGUGGGGUAGUGGCUUACCAAGGCUUUGACGGGUAGCCGGCCUGAGAGGGUGACCGGCCACAUUGGGACUGAGAUGCGGCCCAGACGCCUACGGGAGGCAGAAGUGGGGAAUAUUGCACAAUGGGCGGAAGCCUGAUGCAGCAACGCCGCGUGCGGGAUGACGGCCUUCGGGGUGUAAACCGCUUGCGCCUGUGACGAAGCGUGAGUGACGGUAAUGGGUAAAGAAGCACCGGCUAACUACGUG